RNAcentral lists this ribosomal RNA (497 nucleotides) under uncultured Peptoniphilus sp. Its description in RNAcentral is "partial 16S ribosomal RNA". Lineage: Bacteria; Bacillati; Bacillota; Tissierellia; Tissierellales; Peptoniphilaceae. The record is from RNAcentral.
CACGUAGUUAGCCGGGGCUUUUUCUUAUGGUACCGUCAUUAUCUUCCCAUAUAAAAGAACUUUACGACUCGAAAGCCUUCAUCGUUCACGCGGCGUCGCUGCAUCAGAGUUCCCUCCAUUGUGCAAUAUUCCCCACUGCUGCCUCCCGUAGGAGCUUGGACCGUCUCUCAGUUCCAAUGUGGCCGUUCACCCUCUCAGGCCGGCUACCCAUCGUCGCCUUGGUGGGCCGUUACCUCACCAACUAGCUAAUGGGAUGCGAGUCCAUCUUAGACCACCGGAGUUUUGAUCAUUAGUGCAUGUGCACCUAUGAUUUUAUUGGUAUUAAUCCCGGUUUCCCGAGGCUAUCCCAAUGUCUAAGGCAGGUUACUCACGUGUUACUCACCCGUCCGCCGCUAAUCCAUCUUAUCUUCACCCCGAAGGAUCUGUCAAGAUUCAUCGCUCGACUUGCAUGUGUUAAGCGCGCCGCCAGCGUUCGUCCUGAGCCAGGAUCAAACUCU